GGACCCGCACAAGCGGUGGAGCAUGUGGUUUAAUUCGAUGCAACGCGAAAAACCUUACCUACUCUUGACAUACUUGGAAGCUCUUGUAAUGAGAGUGUGCCUUUUGGAACCAAGAUACAGGUGCUGCAUGGCUGUCGUCAGCUCGUGUCGUGAGAUGUUCCGUUAAGUCGGAUAACGAGCGCAACCCUUACCCUUAUUUGCCAGCGAUUCGGUCGGGAACUAUAAGGGGACUGCCGGUGAUAAACCGGAGGAAGGUGAGGACGACGUCAAGUAUCAUGGCCCUUACGACCAGGGCUACACACGUGCUACAAUGGGAUGGACAAAGAGUCGCGAAGCCGCGAGGUGUAGCU
This 350-nucleotide ribosomal RNA is filed under the name uncultured bacterium. Its description in RNAcentral is "bacterial SSU rRNA". It matches the Rfam family "Bacterial small subunit ribosomal RNA", at positions 917 to 1269 of the family's 1533-position model. The record is from RNAcentral.